CCGAGUUUACAACUCCCAAACCCAAUGUGAACCAUACCAAACUGUUGCCUCGGCGGGGUCACGCCCCGGGUGCGUCGCAGCCCCGGAACCAGGCGCCCGCCGGAGGGACCAACCAAACUCUUUUCUGUAGUCCCCUCGCGGACGUUAUUUCUUACAGCUCUGAGCAAAAAUUCAAAAUGAAUCAAAACUUUCAACAACGGAUCUCUUGGUUCUGGCAUCGAUGAAGAACGCAGCGAAAUGCGAUAAGUAAUGUGAAUUGCAGAAUUCAGUGAAUCAUCGAAUCUUUGAACGCACAUUGCGCCCGCCAGUAUUCUGGCGGGCAUGCCUGUCCGAGCGUCAUUUCAACCCUCGAACCCCUCCGGGGGGUCGGCGUUGGGGACCUCGGGAGCCCCUAAGACGGGAUCCCGGCCCCGAAAUACAGUGGCGGUCUCGCCGCAGCCUCUCCUGCGCAGUAGUUUGCACAACUCGCACCGGGAGCGCGGCGCGUCCACGUCCGUAAAACACCCAACUUCUGAAAUGUUGACCUCGGAUCAGGUAGGAAUACCCGCUGAACUUAAGCAUAUCAU
Molecule: ribosomal RNA, 566 nt
Filed under: Trichoderma atroviride
Lineage: Eukaryota; Fungi; Ascomycota; Sordariomycetes; Hypocreales; Hypocreaceae
Description: eukaryotic LSU rRNA
Rfam family: 5.8S ribosomal RNA (bases 186-339)
Source: RNAcentral